ACGAAGAAAAAGAAACGGAGCAAGAGAGAAACACAGAGAGGGAGAGCUCUGUCCGUGAGAAAACAAGGGGGCGGGAGAAAGGGAGCGAGAACUCGACUGAGAAAGCUCGAGGACGCAACUUACGAAGAAGAGUGACGAGGGAAGUCAAGAGGGUGAUGAGGAUAGGGAAUGCGGGAGUGUAAUGGAGACCAGGAGAACGACUUAAGAGGGAGUUGAGCUCAAAAUCAAAAUUUUUCAUCCAUGGCGUUUGGCGUUCAGGGAGGUGAAUAGAACGGGGCCAGUGAAGAGUGUAAUGGGCUCGAGGAAGAAAGCGAUUCGUAGGAUGACUUAUAAUAUUCUUCUUGAUUGAGCUUAAUUUAUUUAAUUAUGCUCUUGCUGUGAAAUACAAAACAACUAAUUAGUUGGAUGAAUAAAUUAGAGAACUCAUUGGAUUAGUUUAGACUAGCUCAUUUAAAUGUUUAGUGAACUAAGUUAUGACAAGUUAAUGGUGUUGAAAUGUAUUUAUAUUUACUCAGUUCUUGCUAAUUUAGUAGUUGUACCGAGAGUUGAUUUUUCAUUAAAGUUGUCGUUCGUAUGCGCUUUACUGAAUUGUGAGAUGGAAGUAAUGGAAGAGCGAAGAGCUAGAGAUAUCCACAUGAGUUGGUGAGAUUGGUAAAGGAUGACCUAUUGUUGUCUUUCUCUUUGUAUUUGGAUGUGGCCACUAAACCUAUUGUACCUAUUUUUGGGUUAUCAAUAUUCUAAGUUAAUAAUUAGCUUAUAUAGGUUGACUAAGGUUGAUAAACUGUAAAGUAUGAAAUAUGCUAGGAUAGAGAAUUUCUAAGAGGAUGAUUCUUUAUAUGGGGUGUUUGGUGGUUGAUGCUAAUGGUGCAUUCUAUUUUAGAUUUAUUCGAUCCUUUAAUGUCAUUGUGGUGUGAUUUGGUAUGAGGACCAGUGGAUAAUAUAAUUUAUGAGAUCUAAGUUAAUUUCUAAACUAUAUUUAUGAUUGAUAGGGGCUUAGAGCACUAAUAUUGUGCAUCCUGAAGGUCAAGUUUGGUGAAUCAUUUUUGGUGUUAGAUAAGCGUCUAGCUGCGCGGAUGAAUCACUUUUUGAUGUCGGGGAUCAGCUCGGAGAACUAGGUAGAGACUUUAGUUAUUUGAUAGAUAUUCUUUUUGCAUAGAAUGUAAUUGAAUAUAUUACGACCUGAAAUUUAUGUUUAGUUUUGGUUUAGUGAUUGGUUGAGGAAAGAAAAUUACUCCCUUUUGAGAUGUAUAUACAUAUUAGAGCUUGGUUUUAUAUUUUUGAGAGUCCAUUGAAAACCUGUUUUAUGUUAGUAGUUAUGUGGUAACGGGUAACGAAGAAAUAUAAGGGAAAUUUAGCUGAAAUUUCGGGUCGUGACAAUUUUGGUAUCAGAGCCUAGGUUAGGAGAUUCUGUAGACUUUAUCUAUCGGUUGAUCCCCGAGAAACUUAUUGAUGAUUUCAGAUACCUUUUGUUA
Molecule: non-coding RNA, 1472 nt
Organism: Punica granatum (pomegranate)
Lineage: Eukaryota; Viridiplantae; Streptophyta; Magnoliopsida; Myrtales; Lythraceae
Source: RefSeq, a predicted model, not a curated record